GCCAGGUGCAGUGGUGCACACCUGUAAUCCCAGUACCUUGGAAGUCUGAGGCAGGAGAAUCCCAAGUUCCAGGCCAGCCUCUGCAACUUAAUGAAACCCUGUCUCAUU
Molecule: small RNA, 108 nt
Filed under: Marmota monax (woodchuck)
Lineage: Eukaryota; Metazoa; Chordata; Mammalia; Rodentia; Sciuridae
Source: RNAcentral